AUGAAGGCAAGGGGAGAGACUACAUUUGUAGCGCCGAAGGAGCAAGCAAUAUUUAUUGUGAAUCUCUCAGGCAAAAGAACCCUUGUUGGACG
RNAcentral lists this non-coding RNA (92 nucleotides) under Bacillus sp. (in: firmicutes). RNAcentral's name for it is "Bacillus sp. Glycine sequence". It matches the Rfam family "Glycine riboswitch aptamer". From Rfam's summary of the family: This family represents the bacterial glycine riboswitch. Glycine riboswitches usually consist of two metabolite-binding aptamers domains with similar structures in tandem. RNAcentral also lists the same sequence under 1 other name. Lineage: Bacteria; Bacillati; Bacillota; Bacilli; Caryophanales; Bacillaceae. The record is from RNAcentral.